UUCCAGACUCCUACGGAGGCAGCAGUGGGGAAUAUUGGGCAAUGGGCGCAAGCCUGACCCAGCAACGCCGCGUGAAGGAAGAAGGCUUUCGGGUUGUAAACUUCUUUUAUGAGGGACGAAAGAAAUGACGGUACCUCAUGAAUAAGCCACAGCUAACUACGUGCCAGCAGCCGCGGUAAUACGUAGGUGGCAAGCGUUAUCCGGAUUUACUGGGUGUAAAGGGCGUGUAGGCGGGACUGCAAGUCAGAUGUGAAAAUUAGGGGCUCAACCCAUAACCUGCAUUUGAAACUGUAGUUCUUGAGUGAUGGAGAGGCAGGCGGAAUUCCGUGUGUAGCGGUGAAAUGCGUAGAUAUACGGAGGAACACCAGUGGCGAAGGCGGCCUGCUGGACAUUAACUGACGCUGAGGCGCGAAAGCGUGGGGAGCAAACAGGAUUAGAUACCCUUGUAC
This 449-nucleotide ribosomal RNA is filed under the name uncultured bacterium. Its description in RNAcentral is "bacterial SSU rRNA". It matches the Rfam family "Bacterial small subunit ribosomal RNA", at positions 329 to 793 of the family's 1533-position model. The record is from RNAcentral.